AACAUCGCGCACCUGCGGGAACCUGCGGAGGGAUCAUUACAGAGUUGCAAAACUCCCUAAACCAUUGUGAACGUUACCUAAACCGUUGCUUCGGCGGGCGGCCCGGGUCCUUCCCGGCGCCCCUCGGCCCUCGCGGGCGCCCGCCGGAGGUAAACCAAACUAUUGCAUUGUAUGGCCUCUCUGAGUCUUCAGUACUGAAUAAGUCAAAACUUUUAACAAUGGAUCUCAGAUCGGAAGAGC
RNAcentral lists this unclassified non-coding RNA (240 nucleotides) under soil metagenome. RNAcentral describes it as "partial contains 5.8S ribosomal RNA, internal transcribed spacer 2, and large subunit ribosomal RNA". The record is from RNAcentral.